AGGGGCAGCAUGAUUGUAGCAAUACAGAUUGAUGGCGACCGGCGCACGGGUGAGUAACGCGUAUGCAACUUACCUAUCAGAGGGGGAUAGCCCGGCGAAAGUCGGAUUAAUACCCCAUAAAACAGGGGUCCCGCAUGGGAAUAUUUGUUAAAGAUUCAUCGCUGAUAGAUAGGCAUGCGUUCCAUUAGGCAGUUGGCGGGGUAACGGCCCACCAAACCGACGAUGGAUAGGGGUUCUGAGAGGAAGGUCCCCCACAUUGGUACUGAGACACGGACCAAACUCCUACGGGAGGCAGCAGUGAGGAAUAUUGGUCAAUGGCCGAGAGGCUGAACCAGCCAAGUCGCGUGAAGGAAGAAGGAUCUAUGGUUUGUAAACUUCUUUUAUAGGGGAAUAAAGUGGAGGACGUGUCCUUUUUUGUAUGUACCCUAUGAAUAAGCAUCGGCUAACUCCGUGCCAGCAGCCGCGGUAAUACGGAGGAUGCGAGCGUUAUCCGGAUUUAUUGGGUUUAAAGGGUGCGUAGGUGGUGAUUUAAGUCAGCGGUGAAAGUUUGUGGCUCAACCAUAAAAUUGCCGUUGAAACUGGGUUACUUGAGUGUGUUUGAGGUAGGCGGAAUGCGUGGUGUAGCGGUGAAAUGCAUAGAUAUCACGCAGAACUCCGAUUGCGAAGGCAGCUUACUAAACCAUAACUGACACUGAAGCACGAAAGCGUGGGGAUCAAACAGG
Molecule: ribosomal RNA, 722 nt
Filed under: uncultured Bacteroidales bacterium
Lineage: Bacteria; Pseudomonadati; Bacteroidota; Bacteroidia; Bacteroidales
Description: bacterial SSU rRNA
Rfam family: Bacterial small subunit ribosomal RNA
Source: RNAcentral